UACAGAGACUGCAAGCGUUAUUCGGAUUCACUGGGCGUAAAGGGUGCGCAGGCGGCCAAGUGUGUCAGGUGUGAAAUCCCGGGGCUUAACUCCGGGACUGCGCCUGAAACUACUUGGCUAGAGCAUUGGAGAGGGAAGUGGAAUUCACGGUGUAGCAGUGAAAUGCGUAGAUAUCGUGAGGAACACCAGAGGCGAAGGCGACUUCCUGGACAAUUGCUGACGCUCAGGCACGAAAGCGUGGGGAGCCAAAGGG
Molecule: ribosomal RNA, 253 nt
Filed under: uncultured bacterium
Lineage: Bacteria
Description: partial 16S ribosomal RNA
Rfam family: Bacterial small subunit ribosomal RNA
Source: RNAcentral